AUUCUAACACUAGUAGAAAUGCCUAUGCUUUAUUCUUCUGAAGGUGGGAAAAAAGAUAAAACUAAAUAAACGGAUUAUUCAUCCAAAUUUCAGUUUGAAUAAGAUAAUUGACGAAGGUGGUGCUUUGAACAUUUUCGCUGAAGUCGAAAUUAAAAGAUAUUUUUGGCCGGUAAUUAUUCCAAAAAAUACUAUCAAACCGGCUUAACUUAUUUCCUUAUUUUUUGACGCUUUCCUUUCCAGUGAAAGACCUUAUUAG
RNAcentral lists this long non-coding RNA (256 nucleotides) under Nicotiana benthamiana. RNAcentral's name for it is "long non-coding RNA (NBEN_LNC040191)". The record is from RNAcentral. Lineage: Eukaryota; Viridiplantae; Streptophyta; Magnoliopsida; Solanales; Solanaceae.